This 3504-nucleotide long non-coding RNA is filed under the name Triticum aestivum (bread wheat). RNAcentral's name for it is "long non-coding RNA (TAES_LNC004843)". Lineage: Eukaryota; Viridiplantae; Streptophyta; Magnoliopsida; Poales; Poaceae. The record is from RNAcentral.
GAAGAAGGAAACUCAACAUGCAUGGUUCUCAUUAGAGGCAACCAGACCAUUGUUGAAAAUAUUGAUGAUUCCUGUUGUGUAUUCUCAAGGAAUGGUCAGGUUUAGUACUGUAAGUAUUUUCUUGUUCAAUAUAUUUGGGUGGUGCCCAAAAUGCAGAGGUGAAAAGCAAGAAACAUAAAACUACCUCUGAAGAAAAGUUCACCACGCCUCCCAGAAUGUCACCCUGCUUAGUUGAACGGAAGUUUAAUGAUAUUUAGUUUAAGUGGAAAAUUGAUCAAAUCAGAUCAUCUAACCUUUGUAAACUAGGCAACUGAAUCAUCUCAUCUCGACAAAGUUCAGUACAUGGUGAAGAUAUUAGAGUUUGACUAAUUCUCUUGAAAAAUGAAUCACCUCUCACCUCUCAACUUGCAUCGCGGGGCUAACAAAAUAUAGGUACAUGGUGAAGCCAAGUGACACUCUUAUUUUUCUUUCAUACAGGACCGAUGCGGUGCGUAGAAGAAAGGUGCUACUUUCACUUAGUUCUCUCAGUUCUAAGUUGGGACUGCAAAAAUUUGAGGAUUUCCCCACAUGUGAGUUGCCUUGAUUAGUUUUGGCUUAGUUAGUGAAAUGAACUGGAAGUAACUUCUGAAUUUGUUUGACUUUGGACUUGCUAGAGACCUGAAGUUUCUGCUUCUAGCAUUUCUCUUUUGUAAGCAGCAUGGCAAACCCGGUUUCAAAGUAAAGACCUGAGGAAGAAUGUGGAUUGAUCACUGUGAUUUCAAGUCCUUCAGGUGAUUGAUCACUGUGGUAAUUCAUUCUUUUGUCAAAAUUUGAUGACAAUUGGGGUUGGAGGGAAGCAACAAAAUUCCUAUCCUGUAAUAGACGUUUUUGGUGUGUGACUUGAUAGUUGUUCACGUCGAUACAAAAUUUCAUUCAUGUGGUUUUUUAAGGCAUUUGAAUUUAACAUUGUUUUUAUGAUUGUCUAAGAGCUGGAGCUGUUAAGACUUGAGACAGAUAUAUACAGGUAACAGGGGCCUACAAGAUCCAAUUCAUGUUAGUUACCUAUAACUCUGUACCUAAAUGCAUCUUUCAUAAUGUUAUUUCUGUAAUUUAUAGAAGUAAACAAAUUCCUUACAGGUUUGACAGUUCGUCAAAAUAAACAAGUAGUAUUGAUGGGUAAAGGUGGGUACUGAUUUAGUAUGAACAAGUCUGCAUGUUUUAGAACUUCUGUAUUUUCUGAGUUUUCUUUCCUUCAUGCAUUUUCCGAGCUUAUGUAUUUUUUGAGUUUUAGCAAGCUGAAAAUAUGGCGCUUAUUCAGAAAUGUUGGCAUAUCAAUAUCAUGUGCUUGCAUAUGUAGUAUCCAGAGAAAAAUGAUGUGCAAUGAUGAAUCCUGACAAUCUACACACACAUCACUGUAUUUUGUUCACUUGCUUGCUAUUUCUGGACUAUUAUUGAUGGAGCAGCAGAAGAGGCUUUUAGUGUUAUAAUAUAUGUUCGACUUAUAAAUUCAAUAGCUGAACAAAACUUUCAAAAAGAUUACUUUGACUGACUAAAGUAUGGACAUAUAUACCGCGUGUUAUCGUUUCUUCUUCUUCUUCACUUAACUACAUGUGAAGCUGAAGCUGAGCCAAUGUGCUUUUCCAGAAGAAACUGAGGCACAUCAAUCAAACGCCAACCCACCUGCUAUUGGCACUAAAUGAGGAAGGAAAAAGAACAUUGUCCCUGAAGGCUCGAGACACACAAACAGGAAACUGAGUUUGGGAAAGGUGGUUGUCUCCUUGAUGCACACCAUGGUGCCCUUGUCUACUCUCUGUCUUCUUCCUUGCACAGGUAUUUUAUUUCAAGAUUUCGUAAGUGGUCCGCACUGACAAAUGAAAUACGCAAAAAAAGAUACUUAUGUUGUUUUGUUCUUGCAAACACCUUAUUUACUGGUAGUAGGUUCUCUCAUAGCAUUUUUCGGUGGAGUUGUACUGACAUCUUUGACUGAAGUUUCUUUCAACUGGUUAGUUAUAAUCUUCCCAUUUCUGAAAUUUCAAAGUCAAAUGAUUGGGGAAUGCAUCACACUAUCCAUUAGUUCAGUCAAGCUCACAUUAUUGGCAAUUGAGUUAAGUCUUAUAUUUAUAUGCCUGUAACACUCAAAACUUUCUAAAAUGAGAAGUGAUAUGUUAAUUUUUGAAGAGACUGUGAUUAUGUUACAAGCAUAUACAUCACUGGCAAUGCGAAAAAAAUAUUAAUAAUACAUUUUCCCGUUAUUUUAGCUAAAAUAAUGGAGCACAUUUUAUUUUAUUUUAUUUGCAAUCUGAAGCUUGGUUGUACUUCAGUCUCUGGCAAUUGGUUUAUUUCUUGUGGUCAAUUUUGGAGCAGAUGAUGGGUUGUUGGUUGUAGUGAUUUGAUAUUUUAAUGACUAUUCAUAUCAAUGAUUAUGCUUGGCCCCAUGAGAAACACACGAGGUAGAAACGAUUGUGAGAUAGGGAGGGGAAUAGAAAGAUGACGAGGAGAUGCAUUUAUCUACCACAUCACAAGCAUGAAAUAUCAUCACAUGUCAAUUGUCUAUGACUCCCAUAUCAUAUAAAUAGAAAUCCAAUAUUUUUGUUUCUUGUGAAGUUGGUUCACUUUAUUCCCUUCCUGUUAGAGUUGAUGCUUGAGAUCUAGGGCCCAAACAAUUUGUGACCAUAGACUGCUCAGAGUUGUCCUAUUUGAUCUUCAAGUGCAACCCUUCCAUUGUUCUAUUGCAUCUCUGAGCCAUAUUAGCAUACAUUUCUAAUCAACAAUGAACUACCGGAUUUACUUCAUGUCAGUUGUUACUAUCUCUUAGAAAUUCUUUCUGCAUUCAUCAUAUAAGCAAUUAAAUUCACUAUCAGCAAAGUUCACUGCAAGUUUGCUGCACAAUUUUUAUUUGAUAGAUACACGUGAGAUUAUUAUUUUUCUUUACGUUUGUUGAAUAUAUGAAUAAUUCGUUUGAGAACAGGGACAAAACAUGACAAGAAAGGGGAAGAACUAACCUACAUGGAGCUUGGUCAAGGUCGUCGCUCAUGUUUGAUGGCAUUGUUUCUGGUUCCACCGACGUUGUCGAUGCCUAUUACCUAUGGCCCCUUUGCUGCUUUCCUCGGUCGGGCGUGGUCCAUCAGCCACUGCAUGCAGACAAUAGAAUUUAGGCCAGCAAUUGUCGCUUAUCUACGCUACAGAUCGACCCAUAGACAGGGAAAGGAAGCGAUGGUUGGUGGGGAGAGGAGCCGGGGGACGUGUUGUGACGGGACAAGAGGCGCAGUGGCAGGAAGAGAAGGUGAAGACUACGCCAUGUGAGUUGCUGAUGUUGUGCCUUAUGCGGUGGGGAUAAGGGAUGUGUGAUGUGCUUGUGUGGUGAGAGGCGAGGAGUGGCUUUUCCUUUUUGCGGGAGGCUGUUCAUUUUUGUCUAUUCUAUUUUUAUAUUCAAGAUACAUACAAUAUUUAUCAUCAUUAUAAUCGAGAUAAUAAAUAGUUAUUUAUUCCAUUAAUGUGUUGAGUUAUUUUGUUUUUGAUUUUAAU